UUAAGCUAAGAAGAGCGUAGGGAGAAUGCCUUGGCAUUAGGAGCCGAUGAAGGACGUGAUAAGCUGCGAUAAGCUGCGGGGAUCAGCAAGUAUGAAUUGAUCCGCAGAUUUCCGAAUGGAGCAAUCCGUAUGUGUAUGCACAUACAUCAUAUACUGAAUCAAAUAGGUAUAUGAGGGGAACCGCCUGAACUGAAACAUCUAAGUAGGGCGAGGAAGAGAAAUCAACCGAGAUUCUGUGAGUAGUGGCGAGCGAAAGCGGAAGAGGCUAAACCAUAGGUAGCAAUACUUAUGGGGUUUCGGACAGCAUUUAGUAUUGAUAAUUUCUAGUUGAAACGUGUGGGAAAACGUACCGAGGAGUGUGAGAGUCACGUAAGCGAAAGAGAAAGUCAGCGAGCUGUAUCCAAAGUACCGCGGGACACGUGAAACCCCGUGGGAAGAUGGGGGGACCAUCCUCCAAGCCUAAAUACUACCUAAUGACCGAUAGCGAAUAGUACUGUGAAGGAACGGUGAAAAGAACCCCGGGAGGGGAGUGAAAAAGAACCUGAAACCCUAUGCUUACAAGCACCGAGAGCACGUCAAAGUGUGAUCGGGUACCUUUUGUAGAAUGGUCCGGCGAGUUAUUGUAUGCGGCAAGGUUAAGUGCUUAAGGCACGGAGCCGAAGCGAGAGCAAGUCUGAAUAGGGCGAAAGAGUCGUAUGCAAUAGACCCGAAACCGAGUGACCUAUCCAUGUCCAGGCUGAAGUGGAGGUAAAACUCCAUGGAGGGCCGAACACACGUCCGUUGAAAAGGCCGGUGAUGAGGUGUGGAUAGCGGAGAAAUUCCAAUCGAACUCGGAUAUAGCUGGUUCUCUCCGAAAUAGCUUUAGGGCUAGCCUCGUGAAAGAUUACUGGAGGUAAAGCACUGAAUGGGCUAGGGGUCGAAAGAUUACUGAACCCUAUCAAACUAAGAAUGCCAGAUAAUUGAUUCACGGGAGUCAGACAAUGUGAGAUAAGUCUCAUUGUCAAAAGGGAAACAGCCCAGACCCACAGCUAAGGUCCCUAAACAUUGUUAAGUGGAAAAGGAUGUGGGGUUGCAUAAACAACCAGGAUGUUGGCUUAGAAGCAGCCACUCAUUAAAAGAGUGCGUAAUAGCUCACUGGUCGAGUGACCCUGCGCCGAAAAUUCAACGGGGCUAAACAAUGUACCGAAGCUUGGGAUUCUAAAGUAAUUUAGAGUGGUAGGAGAGCGUCGAAUAAGGGGUGAAGUCAGAGCGGAAGCGCUGGUGGACUUUAUUCGAGUGAGAAUGCCGGAAUGAGUAGCGAGAAUUAUGUGAGAAUCAUAAUGGCCGAAAAUCUAAGGUUUCCUGAGGAAGGUUCGUCCGCUCAGGGUAAGCCGGGGGCUAAGGCGAGGCGGAGACGCGUAGCCGAUGCACAUACGGUUGAAAUUCCGUAGCCACCGAAAGAUUUAAGUACAGGGACGCUUUAGAAGUGAUGUAGCCGGGCGAUGGUUGACCCGGUCGUAAGGGAUCGAAAAUGAGUAGAGAAGUCAUCAUGGAAAGAGACAAGAAAAGCUGUAUGAAUAUCUUAGGUGCCCGUACCGCAAACCGACACAGGUAGAUAGGAAGAAGAUUCUAAGGCCAACGGGAGAAGGGUUGUUAAGGAACUCGGCAAGUUGACCCCGUAACUUAGGGAUAAGGGGUGCUCAAGUGAUUGAGCCGCAGAGAAUAGGCCCAGGCGACUGUUUAGCAAAAACACAGGUCUCUGCUAAAUCGAAAGAUGACGUAUAGGGGCUGACACCUGCCCGGUGCCGGAAGGUUAAGAGGAGAUGUGAGAGCAUUGAAUUGAAGCCCCGGUAAACGGCGGCCGUAACUAUAACGGUCCUAAGGUAGCGAAAUUCCUUGUCAGGU
This 1884-nucleotide ribosomal RNA is filed under the name human gut metagenome. RNAcentral describes it as "bacterial LSU rRNA". It matches the Rfam family "Bacterial large subunit ribosomal RNA", at positions 3 to 1977 of the family's 2925-position model. The record is from RNAcentral.